Molecule: ribosomal RNA, 539 nt
Filed under: uncultured eukaryote
Lineage: Eukaryota
Description: bacterial SSU rRNA
Rfam family: Eukaryotic small subunit ribosomal RNA
Source: RNAcentral
UAGUCAUAUGCUUGUCUUAAAGAUUAAGCCAUGCAUGUCUAAGUAUAAGCAUUUAUACGGCGAAACUGCGAAUGGCUCAUUAAAUCAGUUAUAGUUCAUUUGAUAAUACCUACACUACUUGGAUAACCGUAGUAAUUCUAGAGCUAAUACAUGCGAAAAACCCCGACUUUUCGGAAGGGGUGCAUUUGUUAGAUACAAAACCAAUGCGGCGGGGCAACUCGUCGGAACCUUGGUGAUUCAUGACAACUUUGCGAAUCGCAUGGCCUUUGAGCCGGCGAUGCUUCAUUCAAAUUUCUGCCCUAUCAACUUUCGAUGGUAGUGUAGUGGACUACCAUGGUGACAACGGGUGACGGAGAAUUAGGGUUCGGUUCCGGAGAGGGAGCCUGAGAAAUGGCUACCACUUCCAAGGAAGGCAGCAGGCGCGCAAAUUACCCAAUCCCGAUACGGGGAGGUAGUGACAAUAAAUAACAAUACGGGACCUGAUAAAGGUCUCGUAAUUGGAAUGAGUACAAUUCAAAAACCUUAACGAGGAACAAUUG